UGGACAGGCUUUGAAGCUAUUGGUGCUCGGCGGUGUUCAGUCCAUUGAAAGCUCCUUUUGGACUAUGUGAAGCAUUGGCCAUCCAGAAAGUAUGAUUAGUUAAGCUUGAUUACUUUUUUUUCCCACAGCCAGAUCGUAUCGGAUCACCGGUAGCAUAGUCAACCGUCUUCGUGACGGAAGUCAGAUAUGAUCCUUUUCACUGAUGCUGAUAUCAGUCUUUGGCAUUUUCAACUUGGGCAAAGGAAGGUAAGUAGCUCAGGAAAGAAGUUCUAAGCAGACUCAUCGAUUAGGAAAAGAGAAACAUUCAAUCCCAUCUCAGCGAGCAGAUUAACAUGCUCUGAGAAAGUGCGCGAUCAUGUUACAGAAACAACUCGCCGUGCCUCUACAGAAGAGGAAGAAUAUA
Long non-coding RNA from Rhodamnia argentea, 403 nucleotides. RefSeq lists it as uncharacterized. NCBI's taxonomy places the organism in Eukaryota, Viridiplantae, Streptophyta, Magnoliopsida, Myrtales, Myrtaceae. The record is from RefSeq and is a predicted model, not a curated record. The transcript is spliced from 2 exons.